RNAcentral lists this ribosomal RNA (271 nucleotides) under uncultured archaeon. Its description in RNAcentral is "partial 16S ribosomal RNA". It matches the Rfam family "Archaeal small subunit ribosomal RNA", at positions 477 to 747 of the family's 1478-position model. The record is from RNAcentral.
CAGCGCCACAAGUGGCAGUCGCGAUUAUUGGGCCUAAAGCGUCCGUAGCCGGCUAGGUAAAUCCAUUGUGAAAUCGGCAUGCUCAACAUGUCGGCUUGCAGUGGAGACUGCCAAGCUCGAGACCGGGAGGAGUCAGAAGUAUGCCAUGGGGACCGGUAAAAUGGGAUAAUCCAUGGUAGACUACCAAUGGCGAAGGCAUCUGACCAGAACGGGUCUGACGGUGAGGGACGAAGGCUAGGGGAGCGAACCGGAUUAGAUACCCGAGUAGUCC